GGGUUGUGAGGUUAAGCGACUAAGCGUACACGGUGGAUGCCCUGGCAGUCAGAGGCGAUGAAGGACGUGCUAAUCUGCGAAAAGCGUCGGUAAGGUGAUAUGAACCGUUAUAACCGGCGAUGUCCGAAUGGGGAAACCCAGUGUGAUUCGUCACACUAUCGUUAACUGAAUACAUAGGUUAACGAGGCGAACCGGGGGAACUGAAACAUCUAAGUACCCCGAGGAAAAGAAAUCAACCGAGAUUCCCCCAGUAGCGGCGAGCGAACGGGGAGCAGCCCAGAGUCUGAAUCAGCUUGUGUGUUAGUGGAACGGUCUGGAAAGUCCGACGGUACAGGGUGAUAGUCCCGUACACCAAAAUGCACAGGCUGUGAACUCGAAGAGUAGGGCGGGACACGUGGUAUCCUGUCUGAAUAUGGGGGGACCAUCCUCCAAGGCUAAAUACUCCUGACUGACCGAUAGUGAACCAGUACCGUGAGGGAAAGGCGAAAAGAACCCCGGCGAGGGGAGUGAAAAAGAACCUGAAACCGUGUACGUACAAGCAGUGGGAGCACCUUCGGGUGUGACUGCGUACCUUUUGUAUAAUGGGUCAGCGACUUAUAUUCUGUAGCAAGGUUAACCGUAUAGGGGAGCCGCAGGGAAACCGAGUCUUAACUGGGCGUUAAGUUGCAGGGUAUAGACCCGAAACCCGGUGAUCUAGCCAUGGGCAGGUUGAAGGUUGGGUAACACUAACUGGAGGACCGAACCGACUAAUGUUGAAAAAUUAGCGGAUGACUUGUGGCUGGGGGUGAAAGGCCAAUCAAACCGGGAGAUAGCUGGUUCUCCCCGAAAGCUAUUUAGGUAGCGCCUCGUGAA
Molecule: ribosomal RNA, 852 nt
Filed under: Klebsiella pneumoniae
Lineage: Bacteria; Pseudomonadati; Pseudomonadota; Gammaproteobacteria; Enterobacterales; Enterobacteriaceae
Description: bacterial LSU rRNA
Rfam family: Bacterial large subunit ribosomal RNA
Source: RNAcentral